Molecule: long non-coding RNA, 1869 nt
Organism: Daphnia pulex (common water flea)
Lineage: Eukaryota; Metazoa; Arthropoda; Branchiopoda; Diplostraca; Daphniidae
Exons: 6
Source: RefSeq, a predicted model, not a curated record
AAUAACCGCAAGGCUUAAGAGGAGGGGUGAGAAAAAAAAGUCGUAUAAAAGGCGAGAGAAAAGUCGACAGGGAUCAGUCGAGCGAGUAUCUCCGACACGGUAACAUCUGCAUUCCACUAUCUGCCAUCAGCUGCAUUCUUCAUCGUACUAUCAGUUCUAAAUCAUGGUAAACUAUGCUGGCGUGCUGUUGUUGGGUGUUGUGUCGUUGAUGGCUGGUUCAGCCACUGGCGUACCGAUGUAUCCUGGGUAUGGUGGAUACCAAAGCACUACACUGCCGCCUUAGUACACAACUUACGACACAACCAGUUGCUACACCGAUGCCCCCCAAGUACUUCACCACCAUGCUGCCCCAAGCUACUACACCGAAUCCCCACAGUAUUAUUCUUCUCCGAGCUACAUUACUAAAGGGUAGAGUACUACACCGAGGCUCCCCAACACUACACGACCAAGGCACCUGAGUACUAUACCACUACAUAUCAUGGUAAUGAAGGAGAGAAAAGGUGAAAGAUUUCAGCAGCCGAUUGAGCAUCUCCGUUACGGCAACAGGAACUGCCGUGCACUAUUUGUCAUCAACUUCAUUCUUCGUCGCAUUAAAAGUUUUAAAUAAAGUAAACUAUGGCGUCGUGCUGCUGUUGGGCGUUGUAUCGUUGAUGGGUGGUUCAGCCAUGGUGUACCGAUGUCUCCUGGGUAUGGCGGGUACUAAAGCACUACACUGCCGUGCCGUCUAACUAAUUAGCAUCAACUUCCGCUGCUCCAGCUUACUACACUGAGGUUUACAAGUGCUACACCACCAUGGAUCCAGAGUAUUACACCACAGCUCAUGUUGCCCCGAGCUACACUACCAAAGGGUCGAGAACUACGUCGAGGCUCCCAAGUACUACAUCACCAAGGCACCGGAGUACAAAAACGGUUGAAUACUACACAGAAGUUAUUAUGAUUCAAAUUAUUUGUUGCCUAGGAAACUAUGGUGUCGUGCUGCUGUGAGUGUUGUAAUCAUGAUGGCUGGAUCGACCAAUGGUGUGCCGAUAUCUCCUGGGUAUGGUGGGCAAUCAACAACAACAUACGCAACAACCGCUUACUACACUGGGACCUGCAAGUGCCAAACCACCAAGGCUUCAGAGUAUUACACCACAGUUUAUGUUGGCACGAGCUACUACGCAGAAGCUCCGGAAUAAUUUUCUUCCCCGCUUCACUACCUUCACCACGCCGCCUCCUUACUAAACAACAACAACAACGUCGUCAACACCUACUUACUAAACGAACGCCUCCAAGUGCUACGCCAUAAAGGCUUCGACUACUACAACGAGGAUCAAACUUGUCACACAACUGAAGCGCCCAAGUACUGCACUACAACCUACGUUGCUCCAGCUUACACCACGAAGGGAGCGGAGUACAACACCACGAAGGGAGCGGAGUACAACACCACGAAGGGAGCGGAGUACAACACCACGAAGGGAGCGGAGUACAACACCACGAAGGGAGCGGAGUACAACACCACGAAGGGAGCGGAGUACAACACCACGAAGGGAGCGGAGUACAACACCACGAAGGGAGCGGAGUACAACACCACGAAGUAUGCUACCAUUUUACACCGAAGCUCCUGAGUAUUACACCAAAGAGAUUGCAUAUUUCGCUUCAACCCGCGCUGCCCUCAGUUGCUAUACCGAGGUUCCCAAGUACUACACCACCAAGGCACCCGAGUAUCACACCACAAACGCUUCCGGAUUUUACUACAAGGAGAUUUCUAAAUGCUAGAGCCGAUAGAUCUAUUUUAUUUUUUUUAAAUUGGUUGCUUGUCUUCAUGAUCAUUGGUCACUGGGAAUUAACUGUUGAUCUUAAAUGAGAAAAUAAAAAUUCUAAUAAGGGUAA